This 254-nucleotide long non-coding RNA is filed under the name Mytilus galloprovincialis (Mediterranean mussel). The record is from RNAcentral. Lineage: Eukaryota; Metazoa; Mollusca; Bivalvia; Mytilida; Mytilidae.
AAAAGUUAAAACUAAACUUUGCAUAUAUAUUAAAAGUGUUGUAUUAAUUCCAGAAUAUUAUUUUUGGUAAGACAAGAACUGCUAACGAAACUGAUCAAAAGAAGAAGACAGCGUUAUCUAUCAAAAUAAUUUCAAUAAUGAUUAUUUUAACGCCUAUGGUCUGACCGCUAUCUGACUGCUAAGCUAUAAAAUUCUCGACGAGACACAGAAACAAAAACAAUCACCCGAAAGUCGUUAUGGAUCAUUAAGAGAAG